GACGAACGCUGGCGGCGUGCAUAAUACAUGCAAGUCGAGCGCAGGAAACUGACGGAACUCUUCGGAGGGAAGGCAGUGGAAUGAGCGGCGGACGGGUGAGUAACACGUAAGGAACCUGCCUCAAGGAUUGGGAUAACUCCGAGAAAUCGGAGCUAAUACCGGAUAGUUCAACGGACCGCAUGGUCCGCUGAUGAAAGGCCCUUCGGCCUCACCUUGAGAUGGCCUUGCGGUGCAUUAGCUAGUUGGUGGGGUAACGGCCCACCAAGGCGACGAUGCAUAGCCGACCUGAGAGGGUGAUCGGCCACACUGGGACUGAGACACGGCCCAGACUCCUACGGGAGGCAGCAGUAGGGAAUCUUCCACAAUGGACGAAAGUCUGAUGGAGCAACGCCGCGUGAGUGAUGAAGGUUUUCGGAUCGUAAAACUCUGUUGUAAGGGAAGAACACGUACGAGAGGGAAUGCUCGUACCUUGACGGUACCUUACGAGAAAGCCACGGCUAACUACGUGCCAGCAGCCGCGGUAA
RNAcentral lists this ribosomal RNA (524 nucleotides) under uncultured bacterium. RNAcentral's name for it is "partial 16S ribosomal RNA". It matches the Rfam family "Bacterial small subunit ribosomal RNA", at positions 28 to 523 of the family's 1533-position model. The record is from RNAcentral.